This 1511-nucleotide ribosomal RNA is filed under the name Ctenopoma muriei (ocellated labyrinth fish). RNAcentral describes it as "partial 16S ribosomal RNA". It matches the Rfam family "Bacterial large subunit ribosomal RNA", at positions 181 to 2597 of the family's 2925-position model. Lineage: Eukaryota; Metazoa; Chordata; Actinopteri; Anabantiformes; Anabantidae. The record is from RNAcentral.
UACUAAAAAGCUAGCCCCACCAACCAAAAACAACAACACACUAUUUAUAACCCCUAACUCACUACUACAUCACUAAAACAAACCAUUUUACCCCCUAAGUAUGGGCGACAGAAAAGGGUCCUGUGGAGCGAUAGAGAAAGUACCGCAAGGGAAAGCUGAAAGAGUAAAUGAAAAAAUCCAGUAAAGUAAAAGAAAGCAGAGACUACACCUCGUACCUUUUGCAUCAUGAUUUAGCCAGAAAAACACAAGCAAAGUGCACUUUAGUUUGUAACCCCGAAACUAAAUGAGCUACUCCGAGGCAGCCUAUAAAAAGGGCCAACCCGUCUCUGUGGCAAAAGAGUGGGAAGAACUCUGAGUAGAGGUGACAGACCUAUCGAAUUUAGUCAUAGCUGGUUGUCUAGGAAUUGAAUAGAAGUUCAGCCUCACGGCUUCUCCCCUCAAACCACUUCAGUGACUCUUGAGCAAUAAGAAACCGAGGAGAGUUAGUUAAAGGGGGUACAGCCCCUUUAAGACAAGAUACAACUUUUCCAGGUGAGUAAAGAUCAUAUUAAAAAAGGCAAAAUGUUCUAGUGGGCCUAAAAGCAGCCAUCUAAUAGAAAGCGUUAAAGCUCAGACAUUAUAAACACAGCCUUCGAUCCCGAUAAUUAAUUCUUAGCCCCCUAAAUAUACUAGACCACCCCAUGCAUUCAUGGGGGUGAUUAUGCUAAUAUGAGUAAUAAGGAGGUUUAGGCCUCCUCCUAGCACAAGUGUAUAUCGGAACGAACCCCCACCGAAUUUUACCGGCCCCAACCCCAGAGGGCAUUGAGAAUAAAAUAAAAAACAAGAAAACUUCUCAGUACACCACCGUUAACCCCACACUGGCAAUGCUUACAAGGAAAGACUAAAAGAAAAAGAAGGAACUCGGCAAACAUAAGCCUCGCCUGUUUACCAAAAACAUCGCCUCUUGCAAAAUUAAUAAAUAAGAGGUCACGCCUGCCCUGUGACAAGUAGUUUAACGGCCGCGGUAUUUUGACCGUGCAAAGGUAGCGCAAUCACUUGUCUUUUAAAUGAAGACCUGUAUGAAUGGCACGACGAGGGCUUAACUGUCUCCUUUUUCAAGCCAAUGAAAUUGAUCUCCCCGUGCAGAAGCGGGGAUAAACACAUAAGACGAGAAGACCCUAUGGAGCUUUAGACACAAAGGCAGACCUUGUCAAGCACUCUUAAAUAAAAGACUAAACCAAAAUGAACCCUGCCCUAAUGUCUUUGGUUGGGGCGACCGCGGGGAAAUAAAAAACCCCCAUGUGGAAUGAGAGAACUUCUCUCAAAAAUAAGAGCCACAGCUCUAAUUAGCAGAAUAUCUGACCUUAAGAUCCGGCAAUGCCGAUCAACGGACCGAGUUACCCUAGGGAUAACAGCGCAAUCCCCUUUUAGAGCCCAUAUCGACAAGGGGGUUUACGACCUCGAUGUUGGAUCAGGACAUCCUAAUGGUGCAGCCGCUAUUAAGGGUUCGUUUGUUCAACGAUUAAAGUCCU